Molecule: unclassified non-coding RNA, 524 nt
Filed under: Limnodrilus udekemianus
Lineage: Eukaryota; Metazoa; Annelida; Clitellata; Tubificida; Naididae
Description: sequence contains ITS2
Rfam family: 5.8S ribosomal RNA (bases 1-89)
Source: RNAcentral
AUUAAUGUGAAAUGCAGACACAUUGAACAUCGAAUCUGAACGCACAUGCGGCCUCGGGCAAUCCCGAGGCCACGCCUGUCUCAGGGUCGGUUUAACAUAUCAAUCGUCGGUCGUCCUCAGAAUGCCGACGCAUUGGAUCGUCGUGGCGAGCGGGUGAAUGGUACCUUGACCGGGGUUCGAGCGGUGAUGUUUUGCGAGCAGAGCGAUUCAGCGUGCAUUCGCAAACGUCACCGUCUCGAGCUGCCUGCCGCCGCGUCGUCCGAAGAACAGACGGGACCGCCGCGUGACCACGCCGGCCGCACGUUCUAAGUCCGCCAGCCGGUGGACGGGGACGGCGACUCGGAAGUCGAAAUACGAUGUCUGCCGUCGCCCGUCGUGGCGGUACGGUCGGCGUCGGUCGCGCAAUGGACCCACGAAGCUCUGCGAACGCGUUAGUACGUCGGACUCUCGCGAGUCCGUUCGUGCGCGCGUUCAUAGACUUCGACCUGAGAUCAGACGAGAUUACCCGCUGAAUUUAAGCAUAU